This 29-nucleotide non-coding RNA is filed under the name Rattus norvegicus (Norway rat). The record is from RNAcentral. Lineage: Eukaryota; Metazoa; Chordata; Mammalia; Rodentia; Muridae.
UCCAAACCUUGUUGGUGCAUGUCUGAUGU